UACGGAGGGUGCGAGCGUUAAUCGGAAUUACUGGGCGUAAAGCGCGCGUAGGCGGUCAACUAAGUCGGUUGUGAAAGCCCCGGGCUCAACCUGGGAAUGGCAGUCGAUACUGGUUGGCUGGAGUAUGGGAGAGGACAGUGGAAUUCCAGGUGUAGCGGUGAAAUGCGUAGAGAUCUGGAGGAACAUCAGUGGCGAAGGCGACUGUCUGGCCUGAUACUGACGCUGAGGUGCGAAAGCGUGGGGAGCAAACAGG
RNAcentral lists this ribosomal RNA (253 nucleotides) under uncultured bacterium. RNAcentral describes it as "partial 16S ribosomal RNA". It matches the Rfam family "Bacterial small subunit ribosomal RNA", at positions 524 to 776 of the family's 1533-position model. The record is from RNAcentral.